RNAcentral lists this ribosomal RNA (460 nucleotides) under uncultured bacterium. Its description in RNAcentral is "partial 16S ribosomal RNA". It matches the Rfam family "Bacterial small subunit ribosomal RNA", at positions 338 to 795 of the family's 1533-position model. The record is from RNAcentral.
CCUACGGGGAGCAGCAGUGAGGAAUAUUGGUCAAUGGGCGCGAGCCUGAACCAGCCAAGUAGCGUGAAGGAUGACUGCCCUACGGGUUGUAAACUUCUUUUAUAAAGGCAUAAAGUGAGGCACGUGUGCCUUUUUGUACGUACUUUAUGAAUAAGGAUCGGCUAACUCCGUGCCAGCAGCCGCGGUAAUACGGAGGAUCCGAGCGUUAUCCGGAUUUAUUGGGUUUAAAGGGAGCGUAGAUGGGUUGUUAAGUCAGUUGUGAAAGUUUGCGGCUCAACCGUAAAAUUGCAAUUGAUACUGGCAGUCUUGAGUGCAGUGGAGGUAGGCGGAAUUCGUGGUGUAGCGGUGAAAUGCUUAGAUAUCACGAAGAACUCCGAUUGCGAAGGCAGCUUACUAAACAGCCACUGACAUUGAUGCUCGAAAGUGUGGGUAGCAAACAGGAUUAGAUACCCCAGUAGUC